Molecule: ribosomal RNA, 792 nt
Filed under: uncultured bacterium
Lineage: Bacteria
Description: bacterial SSU rRNA
Rfam family: Bacterial small subunit ribosomal RNA
Source: RNAcentral
AGAGUUUGAUCCUGGCUCAGAACGAACGCUGGCGGCGUGCUUAACACAUGCAAGUCGCGUGCGCAGUUGCCGUAGCAAUACGGUGAUGGGCGCACGGCGCACGGGUGCGUAACACGUGGGCAAUCUACCCUUUGAUGGGGAAUAACCCGCCGAAAGGCGGGCUAAUUCCGCAUAAGAUUCUUUAGACUUCGGUCUGAAGAUUGAAAGCAGCAAUGCGUCGAAGGAGGAGCCCGCGCCCGAUUAGCUAGUUGGUGAGGUAACGGCUCACCAAGGCUAUGAUCGGUAGCUGGUCUGAGAGGAUGAUCAGCCACACUGGAACUGAGACACGGUCCAGACUCCUACGGGAGGCAGCAGUGGGGAAUCUUGCACAAUGGGCGAAAGCCUGAUGCAGCGACGCCGCGUGGGGGAUGAAGCAUUUCGGUGUGUAAACCCCUUUCGACUGGGACGAAUGCCUCGCAAGAGGAGUGACGGUACCAGUAGAAGAAGCCCCGGCUAACUACGUGCCAGCAGCCGCGGUAAGACGUAGGGGGCCAGCGUUGUUCGGAAUUACUGGGUGUAAAGGGUUCGUAGGCGGUGCGGCAAGUUGGGAGUGAAAUCUCUGGGCUCAACCCAGAGGCUGCUUCCAAAACUGCUGUGCUCGAGUGUGAGAGAGGCGCGUGGAAUUGCAGGUGUAGCGGUGAAAUGCGUAGAUAUCUGCAGGAACACCCGUGGCGAAAGCGGCGCGCUGGAUCACUACUGACGCUGAGGAACGAAAGCUAGGGGAGCAAACAGGAUUAGAUACCCUAGUAGUCC